Molecule: ribosomal RNA, 424 nt
Filed under: uncultured bacterium
Lineage: Bacteria
Description: bacterial SSU rRNA
Rfam family: Bacterial small subunit ribosomal RNA
Source: RNAcentral
GGGAAUUUUGGACAAUGGGGGCAACCCUGAUCCAGCCAUGCCGCGUGUGUGAAGAAGGCCUUCGGGUUGUAAAGCACUUUUGUUCGGAACGAAACGGUUGAGGCGAAUAACUUCAGCUAAUGACGGUACCGGAAGAAUAAGCACCGGCUAACUACGUGCCAGCAGCCGCGGUAAUACGUAGGGUGCAAGCGUUAAUCGGAAUUACUGGGCGUAAAGCGUGCGCAGGCGGUUUUGCAAGUCAGAUGUGAAAUCCCCGGGCUCAACCUGGGAACUGCAUUUGAAACUACAAGGCUAGAGUGUGUCAGAGGGGGGUAGAAUUCCACGUGUAGCAGUGAAAUGCGUAGAGAUGUGGAGGAAUACCGAUGGCGAAGGCAGCCCCCUGGGAUAACACUGACGCUCAUGCACGAAAGCGUGGGGAGCAAAC